AGUAUUGGGUUGGCCAAAAAGUUUGUUCAGGUUUUCCUGUAAGAUGUAAUGGAAAACUCUGAACAAACUUUUUGGCCAACCCGAUAUG
RNAcentral lists this microRNA precursor (88 nucleotides) under Ovis aries (sheep). Its description in RNAcentral is "miRNA (ENSOARG00000023510.1)". Lineage: Eukaryota; Metazoa; Chordata; Mammalia; Artiodactyla; Bovidae. The record is from RNAcentral.